CCUACGGGUGGCUGCAGUGAGGAAUAUUGGUCAAUGGACGCAAGUCUGAACCAGCCAUGCCGCGUGCAGGAAGACGGCUCUAUGAGUUGUAAACUGCUUUUGUACGAGGGUAAACGCAGAUACGCGUAUCUGUCUGAAAGUAUCGUACGAAUAAGGAUCGGCUAACUCCGUGCCAGCAGCCGCGGUAAUACGGAGGAUUCAAGCGUUAUCCGGAUUUAUUGGGUUUAAAGGGUGCGUAGGCGGGCUGUUAAGUCAGCGGUAAAAGCCCGGGGCUCAACCCCGGCGAGCCGUUGAAACUGGCUGUCUUGAGAUGUCGAGAGGUAUGCGGAAUGCGCAGUGUAGCGGUGAAAUGCUUAGAUAUUGCGCAGAACUCCGAUUGCGAAGGCAGCAUACCGGCGGCGAUCUGACGCUGAGGCACGAAAGCGUGGGUAUCGAACAGGAUUAGAUACCCCAGUAGUC
Molecule: ribosomal RNA, 459 nt
Filed under: uncultured bacterium
Lineage: Bacteria
Description: partial 16S ribosomal RNA
Rfam family: Bacterial small subunit ribosomal RNA
Source: RNAcentral